AGGCACUGCCCAGAAGCAAGAGUCAUAAGCAGCCUAUAAUGAUGAAGAAACUGAGGCUCAGAGAGGCUAAGUGACUUGCUCAAGGUCACAUGUUUGGUAUAGUUAGAAGAUAAAUGAAACCGGACAAAGGGCAGCAGUGAAGCGGGCCCUCAGGCAGAGUGGCCACUCUAGCGUGCAGAGGAUACAGCAGGAUAACGACAUCAUGUGUCUGGGCUUGGCUGGAGAGGCUGGGAGGGAGAAC
Long non-coding RNA from Monodelphis domestica (gray short-tailed opossum), 241 nucleotides. RefSeq lists it as uncharacterized. The record is from RefSeq and is a predicted model, not a curated record. NCBI's taxonomy places the organism in Eukaryota, Metazoa, Chordata, Mammalia, Didelphimorphia, Didelphidae.